RNAcentral lists this long non-coding RNA (863 nucleotides) under Pan troglodytes (chimpanzee). RNAcentral describes it as "long non-coding RNA NONPTRT007618". The record is from RNAcentral. Lineage: Eukaryota; Metazoa; Chordata; Mammalia; Primates; Hominidae.
GUUCGAUCUUUAAACUAAAUUUUUUGAAACUUUAACAGGAACGAGCAUCCGGCACCCUUGUGCAUGUACCCUACAAUGACUGCCAGGCUUGGAUGGAUGUCCCCACUCCUGACUUGGUCUGCCCUGACACCACCUGGGCAAUGGGGAGAGUGUCUUCCUACGGCUGGGGAGUGUGGGAGUCCAGGCUUCACGCACUCUUUGCUGUUCAAUGUACCAGCUGGAGGAUGAGUCUGCGCAUUUGGAUGAAAUGCCACUAAUGAUGUCUGAAGAAGGCUUUGAGAAUGAGGAAAGUGAUUACCACACCUUACCACGAGCCAGGAUAAUGCAAAGGAAAAGAGGACUGGAGUGGUUUGUCUGUGAUGGCUGGAAGUUCCUCUGUACCAGUUGCUGUGGUUGGCUGAUAAAUAUUUGUCGAAGAAAGAAAGAACUGAAAGCUCGUACAGUAUGGCUUGGAUGUCCUGAAAAGUGUGAAGAAAAACAUCCCAGGAAUUCUAUAAAAAAUCAAAAAUACAAUGUGUUUACCUUUAUACCUGGGGUUUUGUAUGAACAAUUCAAGUUUUUCUUGAAUCUCUAUUUUCUAGUAAUAUCCUGCUCACAGUUUGUACCAGCAUUGAAAAUAGGCUAUCUCUACACCUACUGGGCUCCUCUGGGAUUUGUCUUGGCUGUUACUAUGACACGGGAAGCAAUUGAUGAAUUUCGGCGUUUUCAGCGUGACAAGGAAGUGAAUUCACAACUAUAUAGCAAGCUUACAGUAAGAGGUAAAGUGCAAGUUAAGAGUUCAGACAUACAAGUUGGAGACCUCAUCAUAGUGGAAAAGAAUCAAAGAAUUCCAUCGGACAUGGUGUUUCUUAGGACUUCAGAAA